This 253-nucleotide ribosomal RNA is filed under the name uncultured bacterium. RNAcentral's name for it is "partial 16S ribosomal RNA". It matches the Rfam family "Bacterial small subunit ribosomal RNA", at positions 524 to 776 of the family's 1533-position model. The record is from RNAcentral.
UACGAAGGGUGCAAGCGUUACUCGGAAUUACUGGGCGUAAAGCGUGCGUAGGUGGUUGUUUAAGUCUGUUGUGAAAGCCCUGGGCUCAACCUGGGAACUGCAGUGGAAACUGGACAACUAGAGUGUGGUAGAGGGUAGCGGAAUUCCCGGUGUAGCAGUGAAAUGCGUAGAGAUCGGGAGGAACACCAAAGGCGAAGGCAGUGUCCUGGGGAGUACCUGACGCUCAGGUGCGAAAGCCAGGGGAGCGAACGGG